GACGAACGCUGGCGGCGUGCCUAAUACAUGCAAGUAGAACGCACAGUUUAUACCGUAGCUUGCUACACCAUAGACUGUGAGUUGCGAACGGGUGAGUAACGCGUAGGUAACCUGCCUGGUAGCGGGGGAUAACUAUUGGAAACGAUAGCUAAUACCGCCUAAUAUUAAUUAUUGCAUGAUAAUUAAUUGAAAGGUGCAAUUGCACCACUACCAGAUGGACCUGCGUUGUAUUAGCUAGUAGGUGAGGUAACGGCUCACCUAGGCGACGAUACAUAGCCGACCUGAGAGGGUGAUCGGCCACACUGGGACUGAGACACGGCCCAGACUCCUACGGGAGGCAGCAGUAGGGAAUCGUCGGCAAUGGACGAAAGUCUGACCGAGCAACGCCGCGUGAGUGAAGAAGGUUGUCGGAUCGUAAAGCUCUGUUGUAAGAGAAGAACGGGUGUGAGAGUGGAAAGUUCACACUGUGACGGUAUCUUACCAGAAAGGGGCGGCUAACUACGUG
This 505-nucleotide ribosomal RNA is filed under the name uncultured bacterium. RNAcentral's name for it is "partial 16S ribosomal RNA". It matches the Rfam family "Bacterial small subunit ribosomal RNA", at positions 28 to 507 of the family's 1533-position model. The record is from RNAcentral.